Drosophila navojoa is the source of this 281-nucleotide long non-coding RNA. NCBI's taxonomy places the organism in Eukaryota, Metazoa, Arthropoda, Insecta, Diptera, Drosophilidae. The record is from RefSeq and is a predicted model, not a curated record.
UCCGACAGUUUAGUCUGGAACUUCGAAGUUUGCAAACGCCGGCUCUAGUUUUCCGCGAAGAACGUAAAAGAGAAAGCAUAAAUUAAGCAUAUUUAACGCAUUUUCAGCGCAAGGCAUUUUUCCUGUAUUUGCAAAGUGCCCUAUAGGAUUAUGUCGAUUAUGUCCGGCGACGCAACAGGCAUUAACGAGAGCAACAAUACAGCCAGCAUUUCGGAAGGCAGCAGCAAUAGUGCUGAGAUCAAGAAGCUCGACAGCCAGCCUACAAAUAAAGUUAUUUCGUU